CUGGGUAAGUCGCACACGGAGUUCUCGUCACGAGUUUUAAAAUUCACAUAUAAAUGGAACAUUUCAGUAGCUUUCCACUUAGUUACAAUUUGAAUUGACACCUGAUCAGUAAAGUGAACAGUGACGAGGAAUUAAUUGAAAAUGAAAACUGCAAUCGUCAGCAUCUUUGUUGCCUUCAUUUUUGGCAACGUAAAUGGAAUCCUACCCAUACCACCUCCAAAUGAUAUAGUAAUUUGUACUAUGGAAUAUAAAAUCUGCGCAGAAGGACAAUAUUCGGGAACAGGACUGGAUGGUUGUCAAGACUGUCUUCAAUGUCCUCAGACAACAUUUGAAACAUGUUCAAAUGGAGAGACUCCUAUCAAAAAUCCACACAU
Molecule: long non-coding RNA, 374 nt
Organism: Bradysia coprophila
Lineage: Eukaryota; Metazoa; Arthropoda; Insecta; Diptera; Sciaridae
Source: RefSeq, a predicted model, not a curated record